RNAcentral lists this small RNA (582 nucleotides) under Pan troglodytes (chimpanzee). RNAcentral describes it as "processed transcript". The record is from RNAcentral. Lineage: Eukaryota; Metazoa; Chordata; Mammalia; Primates; Hominidae.
CGGAGCCGGAGCUGGGCCUAGCUGUCCCACGGGCCACCACUACCUCCUUUGGUUCGGGAGAAAGCUACGACCAAGUACGCCCAGCUCGGGCCUUAGAACUUCUGAACGGGCAGUGCGGGACCAAAAGAGGAAGAUAGUCUUGGGACCCUUGCAUGGUGUUUCAAAGGGUGGUGAAGAACUAAGAUAUCUUCUUGAAGCCCUGCAUCCUCCCAUUCUAAUUUGAACUGUUAGCUUCCCAUCACUGUCAUCUUGGGUAGAAGAAUACAUGUUCACUUCCAGUGAACAAGAGCAUGUUCCCAAACUCAAUUUUGGGUCGCCCACCCUUCACUCCAAAUCAUCAACAACAUAAUAACUUCUUUACCCUGUCACCUACUGUUUAUUCACACCAGCAGCUUAUAGAUGCACAAUUCAACUUUCAGAAUGCAGACUUGUCUAGAGCUGUGUCAUUACAGCAGCUGACAUAUGGAAAUGUCAGUCCAAUACAGACCUCAGCUUCCCCAUUAUUUCGAGGAAGGAAGAGAUUAAGCGAUGAAAAAAACCUUCCUCUUGACGGUAAACGGCAACGUUUCCAUUCACCCCACC